CCUACGGGAUGCAGCAGUGAGGAAUAUUGGUCAAUGGGCGCAAGCCUGAACCAGCCAAGUCGCGUGAGGGAUGACGGUCCUAUGGAUUGUAAACCUCUUUUGUCGGGGAGCAAGGCCCGCCACGUGUGGCGGGAAGGAGAGUACCCGAAGAAAAAGCAUCGGCUAACUCCGUGCCAGCAGCCGCGGUAAUACGGAGGAUGCGAGCGUUAUCCGGAUUUAUUGGGUUUAAAGGGUGCGUAGGCGGAAGGUUAAGUCAGCGGUCAAAUGUCGGUGCUCAACACCGGCCUGCCGUUGAAACUGGUCGUCUUGAGUGAGCGAGAAGUAUGCGGAAUGCGUGGUGUAGCGGUGAAAUGCAUAGAUAUCACGCAGAACUCCGAUUGCGAAGGCAGCAUACCGGAGCUCAACUGACGCUGAGGCACGAAAGCGUGGGGAUCGAACAGGAUUAGAUACCCGAGUAGUC
This 460-nucleotide ribosomal RNA is filed under the name uncultured bacterium. RNAcentral's name for it is "partial 16S ribosomal RNA". It matches the Rfam family "Bacterial small subunit ribosomal RNA", at positions 338 to 795 of the family's 1533-position model. The record is from RNAcentral.